RNAcentral lists this transfer RNA (65 nucleotides) under Geocalamus acutus. RNAcentral's name for it is "tRNA-Ser". The record is from RNAcentral. Lineage: Eukaryota; Metazoa; Chordata; Lepidosauria; Squamata; Amphisbaenidae.
AAGAGGUGUAUGAACAUCUAGAACUGCUAAUUCCAGCGACCAGGACUAAAAUUUUUGGGCCUCUU